UACGGAGGGUGCAAGCGUUGUUCGGAAUUAUUGGGCGUAAAGCGCACGUAGGCGGACUCGUAUGUCGAUUGUGAAAGCCCCAGGCUCAACCUGGGAAUUGCAGUCGAAACUGCGAGCCUUGAAUACCUAAGAGGGUGGGAGAAUUGCUGGUGGAGUAGUGAAAUACGUAGAGAUCAGCAGGAAUACCUGAGGCGAAGGCGCCUACCUGGUGGUGUAUUGACGCUGAGGUGCGAAAGCGUGGGGAGCAAACAGG
Molecule: unclassified non-coding RNA, 253 nt
Filed under: uncultured Oligoflexaceae bacterium
Lineage: Bacteria; Pseudomonadati; Bdellovibrionota; Oligoflexia; Oligoflexales; Oligoflexaceae
Description: contains 16S-23S intergenic spacer region
Rfam family: Bacterial small subunit ribosomal RNA
Source: RNAcentral